AUCCGACUGACGAGUCCUAAAUAGGACGAAACGCGUGUCAAAUUGGAG
Molecule: non-coding RNA, 48 nt
Organism: Schistosoma mattheei
Lineage: Eukaryota; Metazoa; Platyhelminthes; Trematoda; Strigeidida; Schistosomatidae
Source: Rfam